AGAGAGAGAGUAUGUGAGUUUUUAAAAAUAUAUUAGAUAAAAUAAAAAGUUAAAAGCAUUUACGGGAUCUAUUGUUGUGUCGUUCUUGCACUGAUCUUAUCUUGUCUGAUUAUAAGGAGUGAAGGAAAUUAAUGUGAUAAGGUGUGGAAGAGUAUGAGUUAUGAAAUAUGAAUCGAUUUGGUAUCUGUGUGCUGUUUGGUUUUCAAAUUUAAAGUAAGUAACUGUUGGAUGGGGUUUCUGUCCCCACACCACGUGAUUCCUGUCUGCGCCCAUUAAUCUUCUUUUACCUUUCACCACUUUUUAUUAUUUUUCUAACAAUAUCAAAUAUAAAUAUUCC
Molecule: long non-coding RNA, 337 nt
Filed under: Vigna radiata
Lineage: Eukaryota; Viridiplantae; Streptophyta; Magnoliopsida; Fabales; Fabaceae
Description: long non-coding RNA (VRAD_LNC009125)
Source: RNAcentral